This 499-nucleotide ribosomal RNA is filed under the name uncultured bacterium. RNAcentral's name for it is "partial 16S ribosomal RNA". It matches the Rfam family "Bacterial small subunit ribosomal RNA", at positions 28 to 507 of the family's 1533-position model. The record is from RNAcentral.
GACGAACGCUGGCGGCGUGCCUAAUACAUGCAAGUCGAGCGAAGUUUUUCUGGUGCUUGCCCUAGAAAAACUUAGCGGCGAACGGGUGAGUAACACGUAAAGAACCUGCCUCAUAGACUGGGACAACUAUUGGAAACGAUAGCUAAUACCGGAUAACAGUAUUUCUCGCAUGAGAGAUAUUUAAAAGUUGGUUAUGCUAACACUAUGAGAUGGCUUUGCGGUGCAUUAGCUAGUUGGUGGGGUAAAGGCCCACCAAGGCGACGAUGCAUAGCCGACCUGAGAGGGUGAUCGGCCACACUGGGACUGAGACACGGCCCAGACUCCUACGGGAGGCAGCAGUAGGGAAUCUUCCGCAAUGGGCGAAAGCCUGACGGAGCAACGCCGCGCGAGUGAAGAAGGAUUUCGGUUCGUAAAGCUCUGUUGUUAGGGAAGAAUGGAUAUGUAGUAACUAUACAUGUAAGAGACGGUACCUAACCAGAAAGCCACGGCUAACUACGUG